AAUGCCGCGUGUGUGAAGAAGGCCUUCGGGUUGCAAAGCACUUUCAAUAGGGAGGAAAGCUGUGCGUUAAUAGCGUAUAGCCGUGACGUUACCUAUAGAAGAAGCACCGGCUAACUCCGUGCCAGCCACGGCGGUGACUGAGCGGGCUGGCAAGGCGCAUA
RNAcentral lists this ribosomal RNA (161 nucleotides) under uncultured bacterium. RNAcentral describes it as "partial 16S ribosomal RNA". It matches the Rfam family "Bacterial small subunit ribosomal RNA", at positions 393 to 539 of the family's 1533-position model. The record is from RNAcentral.